GAUGUGGUCUUAAAGGAUGUUUUUAAUGAAUGAUUUAACAGAUCCUCAUAAAAAAUACAGUGAGAGUGUCAUAAUUAGCUCUUUGCACAUCACAUCCACAAAGACUGACUGAGAUACCACUCUACAAAGACAUGUUUCUUGUCAAUAGAAAACACAUCUCUUUAUACAAAUUAUACUCCAUUCAACAUAUACAUGGUAGAUAAAUAUCAAUAAGAUUUUUUUGCCACCCAUUGAUUCCUUGCAUGAUAUACAAAC
Molecule: long non-coding RNA, 255 nt
Filed under: Mytilus galloprovincialis (Mediterranean mussel)
Lineage: Eukaryota; Metazoa; Mollusca; Bivalvia; Mytilida; Mytilidae
Source: RNAcentral